This 253-nucleotide ribosomal RNA is filed under the name uncultured bacterium. Its description in RNAcentral is "partial 16S ribosomal RNA". It matches the Rfam family "Bacterial small subunit ribosomal RNA", at positions 524 to 776 of the family's 1533-position model. The record is from RNAcentral.
UACAGAGGGGGCAAGCGUUGUUCGGAAUUACUGGGCGUAAAGGGCGCGUAGGCGGCCUUCUAAGUCGAACGUGAAAUCCCUGGGCUCAACCCAGGAACUGCGUCCGAUACUGGGAGGCUUGAAUCCGGGAGAGGGAUGUGGAAUUCCAGGUGUAGCGGUGAAAUGCGUAGAUAUCUGGAGGAACACCGGUGGCGAAGGCGGCAUCCUGGACCGGUAUUGACGCUGAGGCGCGAAAGCUAGGGGAGCAAACGGG